ACAUUUAUUCAAUAAAGUUUAAUCAACAAUAAAAAAUUUAAAUAAAAAUUCGAAAUACUUAAACAUAUUUCAAUGUCCCGCAACUCCCAGGACCCGCUGACGAUAACGACCGGAAAAGACACCCUGUCGGCCGCUGCAACCCUCAACCGGAAGAUGGAUUUGGGGAUUUAGGGAAGUGUGAAUUUUAAUUUGGAGAAAAUAUUAAAAAAAAUUGUAUAAUUAUAUAAUGUAAAAUUUGUAAGUCAACCCUCCUAAAAUAUCAAUAUAGUGUAAAAAUUAUAUUGAACUCCCUAUAUAAAUAUAAAAUACAUAUAGGUCCUUUUAAAAUUGCCAAAUUUUAGGGGGGAUUGCCCUCCCUUGCCCUUAGCUGGAUACACCACUGCUCUCAACCAAAGUAAAACACACAUUAAAAAUGAUUAGAAAAGUAGAAUAUUAAGUAUAAAACACUUCUUACUUUUUUAGAUGAACAAGAAGAUUAAAAGAAAAAGUGGAGAGCUUUUAAAGAUUUUAAAAGCUUGAUCACUUGAGAAACUUGGGAGCUUGGAAGCAAGGAAGCUUUUGAACACUUGAAGAUCUCAAAUGAAAGAGUGGAAGCUCAAACUUAUGCAAUGUAUGUGAUGGCCGAAAAUGAGAGAGUUUC
RNAcentral lists this long non-coding RNA (640 nucleotides) under Zostera marina. Its description in RNAcentral is "long non-coding RNA (ZMAR_LNC001359)". Lineage: Eukaryota; Viridiplantae; Streptophyta; Magnoliopsida; Alismatales; Zosteraceae. The record is from RNAcentral.